This 624-nucleotide ribosomal RNA is filed under the name Fereydounia khargensis. RNAcentral describes it as "eukaryotic LSU rRNA". It matches the Rfam family "Eukaryotic large subunit ribosomal RNA", at positions 53 to 654 of the family's 3401-position model. Lineage: Eukaryota; Fungi; Basidiomycota; Ustilaginomycetes; Urocystidales; Fereydouniaceae. The record is from RNAcentral.
GAGGAAAAGAAACUAACAAGGAUUCCCCUAGUAACGGCGAGUGAAGAGGGAAGAGCCCAAGUUUGAAAGCUGGCGUCUUCGGCGUCCGCAUUGUAAACUCGAGAAGCGUUUUCCGCGCCGGACCAAGCUCAAGUCCCUUGGAAUAGGGCAUCAUAGAGGGUGAGAGUCCCGUACUUGGCUUGGAGUCCCCGGGGCUUUGUGAUACGCUCUCCAAGAGUCGAGUUGUUUGGGAAUGCAGCUCAAAAUGGGUGGUAAAUGCCAUCUAAGGCUAAAUAUCGAGGAGAGACCGAUAGCGAACAAGUACCGUGAGGGAAAGAUGAAAAGAACUUUGGAAAGAGAGUUAAACAGUACGUGAAAUUGCCGGAAGGGAAGGGUAGGGAGUCAGAUAUGCUGUGCGGAUUCAGCCUUGUCUUUGGACUUGGUGUAUUUUCGUAUUGGCAGGCCAGCAUCGGUUUGUGCCGCUGGAUAUAGGCUUGGGGAAUGUGGCUUUGUCUUCGGUCAAAGUGUUAUAGCCCCUUGCUGAGUACAGCGGCAUGGACCGAGGCACGCAGCGCACCCUCUGGGCGGGCCCUCGGGCACCUUUGCGCUUAGGAUGCUGGCUUAAUGGCUCUCUGCCACCCGUCU